RNAcentral lists this small nuclear RNA (164 nucleotides) under Aotus nancymaae (Ma's night monkey). RNAcentral describes it as "U1 spliceosomal RNA (ENSANAG00000031392.1)". It matches the Rfam family "U1 spliceosomal RNA". Rfam says of the family: U1 is a small nuclear RNA (snRNA) component of the spliceosome (involved in pre-mRNA splicing). Its 5' end forms complementary base pairs with the 5' splice junction, thus defining the 5' donor site of an intron. There are significant differences in sequence and secondary structure between metazoan and yeast U1 snRNAs, the latter being much longer (568 nucleotides as compared to 164 nucleotides in human). Lineage: Eukaryota; Metazoa; Chordata; Mammalia; Primates; Aotidae. The record is from Rfam by way of RNAcentral.
AUACUUACCUGGCAGGGGAGAUACCAUGAUCAUGAAGGUGGUUUUCCCAGGGCAAGGCUUAUCCAUUGCACUCUGGAUGUGCUGAACCCUGUGAUUUCCCCAAAUGUGGGAAACUUGACUGCAUAAUUUGUGGUAGUGGGGGACUGUGUUCGAGUUUCCCCCCC